AUUGGUAAAUGAGGAUGUUAUUAAGUAUUUGAAAUGUAACACAAACACGAAGAAAAACUUGAAAUGAAAUGCUUGAAAUUAGUAAAUUUGUUUUAUAAAUAUAAUCACAAACGGA
Long non-coding RNA from Mytilus californianus (California mussel), 115 nucleotides. RefSeq lists it as uncharacterized. The transcript is spliced from 2 exons. Lineage: Eukaryota; Metazoa; Mollusca; Bivalvia; Mytilida; Mytilidae. The record is from RefSeq and is a predicted model, not a curated record.